AUUGAACGCUGGCGGCAGGCCUAACACAUGCAAGUCGAGCGAGCGGCGGACGGGUGAGUAAUGUCUGGGAAACCGCCCGAUGGAGGGGGGUAAAUACUGGAAACGGUAGCUAAUACCGCAUACCAUCAGAUGUGCCCAGAUGGGAUUCGCUAGGCUGUGGGGUAACGGCUCACCUAGGCGACGAUCGCUAGCUGGUCUGAGAGGAUGACCAGCCACACUGGAACUGAGACACGGUCCAGACUCCUACGGGAGGCAGCAGUGGGGAAUAUUGCACAAUGGGCGAAAGCCUGAUGCAGCCAUGCCGCGUGUGUGAUGAAGGCCUUCGGGUUGUAAAGCUCUUUCAGCGGGGAGGCGUUACCCGCAGAAGAAGCACCGGCUAACUCCGUGCCAGCAGCCGCGGUAAUUC
This 406-nucleotide ribosomal RNA is filed under the name uncultured bacterium. Its description in RNAcentral is "partial 16S ribosomal RNA". It matches the Rfam family "Bacterial small subunit ribosomal RNA", at positions 30 to 526 of the family's 1533-position model. The record is from RNAcentral.